AGCUUGCUCCCGGAUGUUAGCGGCGGACGGGUGAGUAACACGUGGGUAACCUGCCUGUAAGACUGGGAUAACUCCGGGAAACCGGAGCUAAUACCGGAUAGUUCCUUGAACCGCAUGGUUCAAGGAUGAAAGACGGUUUCGGCUGUCACUUACAGAUGGACCCGCGGCGCAUUAGCUAGUUGGUGAGGUAACGGCUCACCAAGGCGACGAUGCGUAGCCAACCUGAGAGGGUGAUCGGCCACACUGGGACUGAGACACGGCCCAGACUCCUACGGGAGGCAGCAGUAGGGAAUCUUCCGCAAUGGACGAAAGUCUGACGGAGCAACGCCGCGUGAGUGAUGAAGGUUUUCGGAUCGUAAAGCUCUGUUGUUAGGGAAGAACAAGUGCAAGAGUAACUGCUUGCACCUUGACGGUACCUAACCAGAAAGCCACGGCUAACUACGUGCCAGCAGCCGCGGUAAUACGUAGGUGGCAAGCGUUGUCCGGAAUUAUUGGGCGUAAAGGGCUCGCAGGCGGUUUCUUAAGUCUGAUGUGAAAGCCCCCGGCUCAACCGGGGAGGGUCAUUGGAAACUGGGAAACUUGAGUGCAGAAGAGGAGAGUGGAAUUCCACGUGUAGCGGUGAAAUGCGUAGAGAUGUGGAGGAACACCAGUGGCGAAGGCGACUCUCUGGUCUGUAACUGACGCUGAGGAGCGAAAGCGUGGGGAGCGAACAGGAUUAGAUACCCUGGUAGUCCACGCCGUAAACGAUGAGUGCUAAGUGUUUAGGGGGUUUCCGCCCCCUUAGUGCUGCAGCCUAACGCAUUAAGCACUCCGCCCGGGGGAGUACGGUCGCCAAGACUGAAAACUCAAAGGAAAUUGACGGGGGGCCCGCCACAAGCGGUGGAAGCAUGUGGGUUUAAUU
This 901-nucleotide ribosomal RNA is filed under the name Bacillus sp. (in: firmicutes). Its description in RNAcentral is "bacterial SSU rRNA". It matches the Rfam family "Bacterial small subunit ribosomal RNA", at positions 77 to 951 of the family's 1533-position model. Lineage: Bacteria; Bacillati; Bacillota; Bacilli; Caryophanales; Bacillaceae. The record is from RNAcentral.